This 86-nucleotide transfer RNA is filed under the name Nitrospinae bacterium RIFCSPLOWO2_12_FULL_47_7. Its description in RNAcentral is "tRNA-Ser". It matches the Rfam family "tRNA". Rfam says of the family: Transfer RNA (tRNA) molecules are approximately 80 nucleotides in length. Their secondary structure includes four short double-helical elements and three loops (D, anti-codon, and T loops). Lineage: Bacteria; Pseudomonadati; Nitrospinota. The record is from RNAcentral.
GGAGGGAUGGCCGAGUGGUUGAAGGCGACGGUCUUGAAAACCGUAGAUCGAAAGAUCCGUGGGUUCGAAUCCUACUCCCUCCGCCA